Molecule: ribosomal RNA, 490 nt
Filed under: uncultured bacterium
Lineage: Bacteria
Description: partial 16S ribosomal RNA
Rfam family: Bacterial small subunit ribosomal RNA
Source: RNAcentral
AUUGAACGCUGGCGGCAGGCCUAACACAUGCAAGUCGAACGGUAACAGGAAACAGCUUGCUGUUUCGCUGACGAGUGGCGGACGGGUGAGUAAUGUCUGGGAAACUGCCUGAUGGAGGGGGAUAACUACUGGAAACGGUAGCUAAUACCGCAUAACGUCGCAAGACCAAAGAGGGGGACCCUCGGGCCUCUUGCCAUCGGAUGUGCCCAGAUGGGCUUUGCUUUUUGGUGGGGGAACGGCUCACCAAGGCGACGAUCCCUAGCUGGUCUGAGAGGAUGACCAGCCACACUGGAACUGAGACACGGUCCAAACUCCUACGGGAGGCAGCAGUGGGGAAUAUUGCACAAUGGGCGCAAGCCUGAUGCAGCCAUGCCGCGUGUAUGAAGAAGGCCGUCGGGUUGUAAAAUACUUUCAGCGGGGAGGAAGGGAGUAAAGUUAAUACCUUUACUCAUUGACGUUACCCGCAGAAGAAGCACCGGCUAACUCCGUG